Xyrichtys novacula (pearly razorfish) is the source of this 5171-nucleotide non-coding RNA. NCBI's taxonomy places the organism in Eukaryota, Metazoa, Chordata, Actinopteri, Labriformes, Labridae. The record is from the annotation of a GenBank genome assembly.
GGAGAGGAUGGAGAGAAGGAGAGGAGAGGAUGGAGAAUCACAUUUAGUUCAGAUUCUCGACACUUUAGUCUAAAAAUGUGGUGUGAACUUCUCUGAUUGAUGUGUUGGGUGUGAAACAUAUGCUUCACUGUGCUCAAGGUGACUGUGUGUGUGUGUGUGUGUGUGUGUGUGUGUGUGUGUGUGUGCGUGUGUGUGUGUGCUGUGGUCUUGCUCACUUCCAGUCAGUCCCCCUGGAGGGCUUCACUGCGUGGUCACUGCAGGGCGUCCUCCUGUCCUCCCCUCUCUUCAGCCACAACAUCCUAACACAACCUGACACAUCCUCUGUCCAGCUACCAUGGAUGUGUGUGAGUCUGAGUGUGUGACUCUGUAGUGUGUGUCUAAGUGUGUGUGUCUGUGUGUAUUGUGAAGACUUUAAUAAACAGCGCUGUCCUGAAUAAAGACGUAAACGUUCGUCUCUAAAGUUUCUGUUCGUUCUUCAGGUGAAUUCAGAGAAAAUUCAUCUUCUCUUCAUCACUUUGUCGUUUUUUUUUCAGGAACGUAUAAAAAAUUAUCCUAAUGUCUGUAAUUUUUCAACAUUUUCAGAGCCUUUCUGGAUCAAUCAGCUGUUUUAAUGAACGAGUGAAUUAUUUAUGUGAAACUCCUGGAGGACAGAAACACUCUCCGUUUUCUCACAUCGUGUGUUUUUGCAUAUUAGCAUAAAAGUGAGACGGCCUGUUUGGAUCCGUGUUUCCAGCUCACACCUGCAGAUUUACGCCGUUUAACGACAGUCAGAGGGAGAGUCACCUUCACCUCAAACACACAGAUAUCUGUGGGUGAGACUGUGACUGUUAGAUCCAGUCUCCUCAUUGAGGGAUGGAUGUAAACUCCUCAGACGACUGAGUUCAAGAACUUCUGCAGCAUGUGAAUCUAAAGUUUCGGAGCUAGUUUUAGAGUUUUUUACGUAUCUCAAAAACCUGCGCGGCAUAAAUCAUGAUGAAGUUAUCGAUCUGUGAGGAAAUCUCUCUGUUUCUUCCUCCUCACCUCACCCCAGCUCCUCCUCCUCCUCCUCCUCCUCCUCCUCCUCCUCCUCUCUCCGAUCUCAGAGAAAGUUAGAGAGGAAGUUCGCUCAACUCCUGUGGCUUGGGUGGCUUUUUAAGUCUUCUUUAUUCAUGUGUUAUUUGUUUAUGUGGAUUAAUUAUUAAAAAUUUGGUGCAUUUUACAAAGGUUGAAGUCUGCAGAUAAUGAUUCCUCUCCAUUCUCUCCCAAUGGGUUGUGUUUGUAAUUUUCUUGAAUAUAAAAGUUGCAUAAUUCAUGUGUAUCGGCGGGCCACAUCCAUUAAUUAUGUCAGUCUUUUAGGUGCUCGCGUCUUUACCACGUCUUCUUCUUCUUCUUCUUCUUCUUCUCUUCCUUUCAUUCUCUCUCUCUCUCUGUUUCUCUCUCUCUCUCUCUGUAUCUCAGCAGAAGUAAAAAACCUCCUUUUGAGCGUUUCCUCCUCUCUUCCUCGCUCUUUUCUCGCGGAUCAUGAGGGUCAGAUGGACCGUGUCCAAGUUUGAGCGGGAGAUGAAAGCGAGCGGAGGAGAAAAGGAAAAGUUUGCUGCGCUGCUGUGAUGUAAAUGCCCUUAUUUAGUAAUUUAUAGAAGAGGGAAUUGAGCACAACUCUGUGGAGAUUCAUCACUUAUUGAUGUGUCUAAUCUUUCAGAUCCUGCCAACAUGAUGAUCAUGAUCUGUGUUAGCGUGAGACGCCUCACCCCCCUCCUCUCCUCCUCCUCCUCCUCCUUCCCUUUCCUCCCCUCUCUCCUCCCCCGAAACUCUUGUUUCUGUCACUUUCUCCCCUCUUCUCUCCACACAUCCACUUUGACUCCAAAUAUUCAGCGUUACAAAAUACCCCGAUAAGUCUGUCACAUUUUAACGUGGCGUAUCGACCACGACGACGACGCCGAUAACACUGACGAGGUUUGACCAGCGGAGAGGAAGAAGAGCUUUUUAUCUUUUUAUAAAUAAAAACAGAUUUUUAGUUUUUUUUUAAAAAGAGAGAAAUUAAACUGAGACAGAAACAUUUUCUGAUUUUAGCUUUUUAAAGGUGAAGAUUUGUGGCUGUAAAUUAAGAGUCUUUGCUGAUUAUUAGUUAUUUUAAAGACGUCGCUCUAGAAACUGUUUUCUCUCUUUUAUUUCCAAAAAUAUUAUCAAUACAUCCUGAAAAUAAGCCUGACAUAAAUCAAAAUUGAGGAUAAUAAUUUGUUCUGUUCAUCUGAGUUGUUCUUUUUUUGGGUUCUGCAGAAACUGAAUCCAGACGUUAUCCGACUCCUCUCAGUGUCCUUUUUAAAAAGCGUUGUCAUCGUGUCGUUUGUCGCCGUGGUUCCCGUCUGACCGCCUCUUUCACUCUUGUGGGAAACUCUGACCUGUGAACACGAGAGCGUCUUUCCUCUUUGUGCAGAAAUAAAAAAGAAAGUCCAGCUCCUCCUCCUCCUGAAAGACUCGGACACUGUAAGUCCCUCUGACCUUUGACCUUCAGUCCUCCACCUUCAGCCGCUCUCACCCUACAUUCAGAGGAAACUCAGCUACUCAGCGUGCGUGUGCAUGUGCGUGUGCAUGUGUGUGUGAUUCCUCUGCAUAAUGAGGCGCUCAGAUGUACAGACGCGGUUCUCGGUUUUUAAUCGAUAUUUGAAUGUUUUGCUAAACUGCACAAUAAGAAAACAUUCACGUCUGAAAUAAUACAAAGAAACUUGUUUCCUACAUGUGUGUGCAUCUCAAUAAGCUUCCCUCCUGGCAUAAUAAGGCCUCUCUCUGCCUCCGUCAGAUGAAAUAAUGUGUGGUAUAAUCAGACGCGGUUAACAAAAGCAACAGCAGGAAUAGGGAGAGAAAUCUAUGCACAUCUAAAUAAUACAACCAUCAGUAUACGCCAAAUCUCCCCGGCUACAAUCUCCCCCCUAAGGGUGCAUGCCUGGAGCUGAUUUGUAUACAAAACAAAUCUAAUGUAUGCUUUCAACACAUAUUUAACAUAUGCCACUCACUGAUAAAUUAUUCACCAACAGGAGCUUCAAUUUUUUAUCGGCAGCGUUUCUUCUUUCCAACGAGUGAUGAGGAAACGGGAGGAGGACAAUGGAGAGGAGAGGAAACACGGCGCUGAAGUUAACUGAACGGAAAAGUCUCGUUCACCUCAGCGGGAACGUUUCAGACUCUCUGAUUUUCUUUCCUCCUCUUUAAUUUCUCUGCAGGAAAAUUUAGCGACACAGUCGAGCCGUUUGUCCGAGCGCUGACACGACUCUUUGUUCAGAACUGAAUAAAAAAAAACACACACAGAGGGGCGUCAGAGGGAGUCAGUAACCCACAUCUGCAUGUUGACUAACACAGGAAGUCACCCUGAAGGUGACCCGCGAAGGCUCGCCGCGUUCAGGAGGUGAUUUGUGACACACAGAUGAUUCAUAAAGCGGCGAAUCGUUGUUGGAGAUAAAAGCGUUCAGGUGCAUGAAUAAAAACACGCCGCCGUGCACAGACGCAAAAACAUGGAAGGUAAAUGCACACACACACCUGCCCCUCUCAGAGAGUCACAGUGAGCAUGCUCCGUGGGUCCGUGUCUCUACAGAUGCUGUGUGUGUGUGUGUGUGUGUGUGUGUGUGCCGUUGUCUCUGCCACAGGCGUGUUUACUCACUCAUACACACACUCGAUAAAACGCUCACACACACACACACACACACACUGAUGUGAGCAGAAUCAGCGCCGGCUCGCUCGCUCGCUCAUGGCCUCAGCUCCUCUGUGUGUCUUUGCCCUCAGCGCCGAGCGGAGACGAACAAACAUGUCUGACAGGAUUGAUGUCACAGGCUCACGGCGGAUCGAUGAAAACAUGAAUCUGUCGAUAACAGAUGAUCAGCUGGACCCGAAUAACUCGAUCAGAUCAGAACCACUGCUGAAGUCCAAAGAGGAGCCGGUUCUCCUCGGUGCUCCUCAUGAACAGAGAGGUUUGAACCCUGAAGGGGACUCCUGAGGACCUUCGCCUCACUACCCCCCCCCAGGUUCCUCAGAUUAGAGCGAGGGCGAAACAGUGACACCGUACGGCCCCGUACUUUUGCAGCGUUCGUGUUGUGUGGUCCGAAUGAAACACAAGCACUAAAAUAACAUUCGCAGAUGCAGCCAUCUUGUUUUCGGCCUCUGAUUUUGCUUUUUUCUGACUUGGAAAUGAAACGUCGUGAACUCGGGUGUGACGUCAUUUUCAGCCUCCUGUGGUAACUCACAGAAAACACAGGUGAGCUCCACGGCCGAGUCCCAGUCCAGAGGCCCCAGGCUUGGCCGUUGUUGCCUGCAUGGACCAAUCACAUCGGAUUGAAGUGGCCUUUACAGAAUGGCGUGAUUACAUCAGUAAACUGAUGGUGAUGUCACGCAGCAUCACUCUGGUUACUAAGCGACCAGUAGCUACCAAGUUAACCAGUUUGCAUACUUCUGUGCAUGUCUGUCAUGAGUCGAAUUCUUGAUGAAUUCAGAGUAAAAAAACACCACAAAAUCACCCUCACUGCUUCAUAACUUCACUCUUUCAUUCUGCAGAUUUUAAUGAAAAUAAAAAUAAAAAAAAGGGACUUGGUGGAGAAAAAGACAAAGACGUUGGUUCAGCUGAAGAAACGUUCAACCAUCCGUCCUGUUGACCUGCUCUGGACCUUCAGCAGAGAUCUUCAUCCUCACGCUGAACUAAAACUGUUAUUUCCAGUUUUUGUUUGAUCGUCGUCUCUUAAUCUCUCAGCUGCUGUAUCUUCACCAUGACGACUGAUGGUGAAUAAACCGUCACAGUGGUUUCGCCGUAAAGGCCAAGAUCGUGGCGUUCUCCAAUCUGAGCUCUUAAGAGUCUUGAAGCUGAACGGACUGAUGGAGUCGGUCAGAACCUUCAUUUCUGCUGCGGUGAGUCAGCUCUCUGUCAUUCACACUAACCUUUAAAAGCAGCAGACAGACCUGUAGGCUGAACAACACUGAGAUUUUCACUGAGAGUGAAAAUUCAUCAUCUGCAGACAGAAAGGAGGCGGGGUCAGGGUCUCCUCUGUAGUGACUGUGACCAGGAGGUGAGAGUCGCUCAGUUCGUUUACAGUCUCAGUUUAAUCAGACUAACCUCAUAACUCGUCUUCUUCUCUGAAUCAGUCUUCUCUCCUCGUCCUCGUUUACAUGCAGCUGAGAAAACUGAAUUAUUGACGUGAACGUGUCCUCCUCCCCAA